Molecule: ribosomal RNA, 485 nt
Filed under: Dinoroseobacter shibae
Lineage: Bacteria; Pseudomonadati; Pseudomonadota; Alphaproteobacteria; Rhodobacterales; Roseobacteraceae
Description: bacterial SSU rRNA
Rfam family: Bacterial small subunit ribosomal RNA
Source: RNAcentral
GCGUGUGUGAUGAAGGCCUUAGGGUCGUAAAGCACUUUCGCCAGGGAUGAUAAUGACAGUACCUGGUAAAGAAACCCCGGCUAACUCCGUGCCAGCAGCCGCGGUAAUACGGAGGGGGUUAGCGUUGUUCGGAAUUACUGGGCGUAAAGCGCGCGUAGGCGGACUAUUAAGUCAGGGGUGAAAUCCCGGGGCUCAACCCCGGAACUGCCUUUGAUACUGGUAGUCUUGAGUUCGAGAGAGGUGAGUGGAAUUCCGAGUGUAGAGGUGAAAUUCGUAGAUAUUCGGAGGAACACCAGUGGCGAAGGCGGCUCACUGGCUCGAUACUGACGCUGAGGUGCGAAAGUGUGGGGAGCAAACAGGAUUAGAUACCCUGGUAGUCCACACCGUAAACGAUGAAUGCCAGUCGUCGGGCAGUAUACUGUUCGGUGACACACCUAACGGAUUAAGCAUUCCGCCUGGGGAGUACGGUCGCAAGAUUAAAACUC